GCCCAGGUAGCUCAGUUGGUAGAGCAAAGGACUGAAAAUCCUUGUGUCGGUGGUUCGAGUCCGCCUCUGGGCACCA
Molecule: transfer RNA, 76 nt
Filed under: Alphaproteobacteria bacterium
Lineage: Bacteria; Pseudomonadati; Pseudomonadota; Alphaproteobacteria
Description: tRNA-Phe
Rfam family: tRNA
About the family: Transfer RNA (tRNA) molecules are approximately 80 nucleotides in length. Their secondary structure includes four short double-helical elements and three loops (D, anti-codon, and T loops). Further hydrogen bonds mediate the characteristic L-shaped molecular structure. tRNAs have two regions of fundamental functional importance: the anti-codon, which is responsible for specific mRNA codon recognition, and the 3' end, to which the tRNAs corresponding amino acid is attached (by aminoacyl-tRNA synthetases). tRNAs cope with the degeneracy of the genetic code in two manners: having more than one tRNA (with a specific anti-codon) for a particular amino acid; and 'wobble' base-pairing, i.e. permitting non-standard base-pairing at the 3rd anti-codon position.
Source: RNAcentral